Molecule: long non-coding RNA, 8579 nt
Filed under: Triticum aestivum (bread wheat)
Lineage: Eukaryota; Viridiplantae; Streptophyta; Magnoliopsida; Poales; Poaceae
Description: long non-coding RNA (TAES_LNC018152)
Source: RNAcentral
GGCCACACGACCUGACGACCCUCUCCUCUUCCCCGACCUGUCCACGCCAGACAUGAGAAGGCUUCGCGCCGCGCUGAUCUGUUUCCGCCCCAGAUUCGUUCUGGUUCGCGAGGUGCGGACGACCUGUAUUAUUAGAGCGUCCUGUUCUCCUGUUUGCUAGAUUUGCUAAUUUUGCCCCAGAUCUGUCCCCGCUUUUGCUGUUAUUAGGUAUAAACGAAAUGUACCACCCGCGUUGGUAAUAUGCAUUGUGUCCUAGAAACAUGGGAUCGGAAUCUAAUUCCAAAGUCUGGGUCAACUUGAAUUGGAGUAGUCUAUUCCAUUCUAGUUCCAGCAGGUGGAGAUUCUCUUAUUUACCCUGGCAUUCGUUUGGACCUGAAAAAUUGGAUUUGUAGUAUAUUCAAGUUCUUUAGAAUUUGAACCCAUCUCUGAAAUCCAAUUCAGUUCUUGGGAGCACAUGUCCUUGUACUAGGAUGCCGGAGGAUCCUUAACGAAACUGUCUGUGAAAAUUCACCUUCAGCCAGCAUCGUACCUGCCCGCUCCAAUCUGGCAGACUGUUUCUGAUGGGAGGGUCUAGAACUCCAGAUUGCCCAAGCACACGAGUGCUAUCAAUAGAAUGCUGCCUAUUUGGAAUUGACGCAUUAUAAUUUUUGACCUGGCUCCUAGUGCAGUAGCUACUGUUAAUCAAGUUACCGUUCCGCCCAAGAGAGGGAGGUGAGGGUAGUAGGCCGAAGGUAAGAAACUUUUGUCAAAUCUUUGAUGGGUGGUGCAAUUGGAAUUGAAAUACCAUGAGCCAGAGUCGGAGGAAGUGAAGCCUAACUUUUAGGGCUUUGUGUCAGAAGAUUUUGUAGGAACUCUGUGGAUCUACAUUUGAUUUGGUCAUCGCAGGAGUAUUUCACGUAGAAAUGCUCUGCUAUAAUGCAACUUGCACCUGGAGAAUAACACACGAUGAGCAUGUUAGGGAAUCAGAGUUAUGUUUAGGAUUGUCAGGUUGUCGUCAAAUAAAGUACCCCUUUAUUAAUUUGGCUGGUAUGUUCCCCUCAUUCUUCUCUUGGAGUCUGCAUGUACUACAUCUUGAGUUGUAUGCAAGUUCUUCAAGGGCUCAAGUUGGCCUUAAGGCCCUGGCAGUAUGCCACAAGCCACCUAUAUAAGUAUGAGGUUAUUGUAAAACACUGGAGUAUUUUUGCAUUGAGUUCAUUAAAAAGAACAGAAAAAACACCAUGUUGGGGUGCACCAAGCUUGUGUGUUUGUAUGCUAAUCCGUGGGGUUGAUCUCAAGGUCAAUUGUGUGCAAGUGUGUAUGUAGUUCUGUUCUUGCUGAUUCCAUGCAAUACCUGAAGGCUGAAGCAUACACUUUCUUGAGGUUUGGUAGAUUGCAGAGUCAACAGUUAGUAAACACUGAACGAAUGUAACUGAUCCAUCGUCUUUUCUUUUACGCAAUCUUGCCUGUCGUAGCACUUGAAAGUCCCUCGAUCCCAUCUACUCCCCCCGUUCACAAAUAUAAGAUGUUUUGGAUAUUUCAAUAUGGACUACAUACCGACUGAAAUGAGUGAACAAACACACUAAAACGUGUUUAUAUACAUUUGAUUCAGAAAAAAGUUAGAACUUCUUAUAUUUGUGAAUGGAGGAGUACUAUUUUGCUGCUUGGUGUUCUAGAGAUUUUCUAUUACCCCAAACUUCCAAAUGUUGGCCAAUCAUAAUAUUUUUGUUCAAUUAAGUUGGUUGUUGAGCCUAAUGUGGAAACCAAGAUAGUUCUGGAAAUCAAAUUGCUUAUACCAAGCAACCAAGCUUCAGAGUUCAGAGAACCAACCAACUGGGAUUAUGGUAACACAGUGAAAGAGACUGAUUAUGUGCUUUUCAUAACAAAACGUUGAUGUUAAUGCUUAAAGAGGAUGGAGGUGAGGGAAAAACUAAACGGAGAAAACAAAAAUGAAAGCCAAUUAAAGAGGCUGAGACUGCCCUGAUGCCUGCUUGUGUCCAUGAAAUAUCAACAAAGCAGUUUUGGAACCGUUUUACUCUUGCCGUCUAAGUUCAUUUUAGCUUUAAGUUUUGCUGAAACCAAUGAGAGCCAAACCGAAGCUUCCCUUUAGAGCUUCUGUGAACUUGCCAAUAGCCCACUAGUGUAAAAUCGCUUACAAUAUACUAAUUCAAGUUCUUGAGUAGUUGAGUUACAGCCUUCCAAACAUACUUCGGAUGAUUAUUUUGAUGUUUUGGUCUCUCCCUGCUUUUGGUGCGGCAUGGUUUGGCCACUAUUUAAUAAACUAGUAAUAAGGCUAUAUGCAUCUAUGAUGAAGGGGCCGGGGGUAAUAAACGCCUCCAUUAUCUAUAAAAAAACAUGUUCUGGAUCUCAUGAGUUUGGCCUAAAUCCAUAUGCUAUCUCUUACCAAAACAAUAUAUAUCAACAGCUGAUAGCAAGUCACUGGGUUUAACCUUUGCAUAAAGUAAAUUUCAAAGUAUACUGUGUUGGAGCACACAAGGUACAAUUAUCUUUGGUAACAAAUGGAGAUCAAUGGUUCAUCUCAUAAUUUUCCUUUCUGUUAUUUACAUCAUACGAGUCUUUUUUUUUCUUCUUCCAGUAAGUACAGUUUUAUUCGUUAUGUACAUUGUCAGAGUUUGAGACUUCUAAUUUUCUUGCAGCUACGGUAGCCUUGCAACUGGAGGUCAUCGGAGAGGGCCCAGAUCUGAAAGUCAUUGUAAUAGAUUGGAGAAAAACAUAUCAUUGAAUGUAAUUGUAUACACAUCCUUCCAAUCAGCGCCUGUAGAAAAUACGGAAAUGUGAUGCUGCAAAGGUCAUGUUGUCUUGCCAGUUCCAUGAAUGAAAUACCAAGGUAAGAUCGCCAAAUUUGUUUCCUGUAACUAAUUCUUCGGACUUAUAUCUUUUCUUCACAAAGUUAUGUUUAUCGUUCGCAAAAGUAUAGUUCACUUAAAAAUAUGAUUUUCCAAAUAUUAUCCAUCUUUCAUUUCUCAGUGAUUACUUAGGUCCAUUGUAUCUAUAGUGUAAAAAGAACACACAAAGCAAUUAAGUUGAUACAUGCAAAUUCUAGUGCGAUUAAUUGCUACUGUUAGGGACUCAUUUUGGACAAGUGCAGGACUGAUUACUUGAACGGAGGGUUGCUGAGUAUCAUUCGUAGUUAAAGUGCAACCUUCCUUAGUUACUAGGUUUUCAUGAUACCUCAAGGAUUAUUAUGUCUGUGCACAGCCGUAGUUACUUAGAAUGGAAUACUGUAGUAAAUGCAAGGCACUAUUAUUGACGGUUUAUGACACUCUAUUUUCAUACAUGAAGAAAUGGAAUUUGAUGUCGUUUGCGGGUUCAACUAUUCAUUUCUAGUAAUUUGGAAACUAAAUUUUGUAAGGAAUUGGGACAGUUAAAUUUACUUCGUAAUAAAUAGCACAAUAGUAAUGUCAAGGAAAAGUAAUAUACCUUGUUGCAAGUCCAUGAUGCAUUUGCCCAUAUCACUUAUUGGGUUAGACUGAAAUUUUAAGCACUCAUCUCCUUUGGAAGACUGACUUCCAGGAAGUACAAGCUGCCAAUUGAAGUUUUAUCGCACGUCAAGAGACAUUUCCAAACAUAUGUGCAUUGAUGUGAAGGAAAAUGCAGCUGAUAUAAAUGGUAAUGGUACACCAAUUUAUGUAUCGGUGCAUUGUUAGAUAAUGUUAAUCAAAUUAUGGUUUUUGUAUCAAUUCCUCGUCAAAUUAUGAUCUUAUAUCACUACAUGUUUAUGAGUUUUCUUCUGUAUAUUACUAAUACAGUGCCUUAAAUUUGUAUGAAGCAGUUGUUUCUCUUGGGGGUGUAAAUAUAUGUAAUGAGUCAUGAACAAAAGGUAUUCCGAAGUCUUUUUAGAUAGUUAUAUAUUGUACUAAAAUUCAUUAAGUUAUUAAAAAAAUAUGAAGAUAUAAAUUUUCAUACAAGACCUUUGUGAUUUUUCAGUUUUGACAUACUGGCACACGUAAAAGAUAAUUGCCUUAUGUAAUUUGAAUUGCAUUGCAUAUCAUAUGAGUGAGUGUAACACACCUCAUGGACAUAAAAGCCAUGCCAACGAAUACAGCUUUCACAGCAUCCUUGCGUCCAGCGUAUUCAAUUGCUAACGGCAGCAUCUCAUACAGCGUCAGAAAUGCCAUUACUCCUCCCACUGUGCAAAAUGGAAAAUUUGAAUAAAUAUUAUGUUACUUACCAAAACUUAUUAACAUUUUUAAACUGUUAGUUUCUCAUUACCUAAUCCAAGUAGACCUUCCAAUAUUUCUGGAUUUAAGUUGCUCGGAAAUAGGUAUGCUGCAAGUAGCACAAUUUUAUAGUCAUUGUUUGAGAUACAAAAGAGGAAAAUAUAAAUUAAGUGCACAAACUCAACGAAACUCAACCUAGGAUGUUACUCAUUAAGGGGAAAAAAUCUGCUUGUAAAGAUAAGUGCUAGAGAAAGAUUAGUCGCAAUUGGUUGUUUGCUUUUAAUGCAGCUCUGCAUCUCAUUGAUUAGAGCAUUUUUUAUGCUCUAGUAUGUGCCGCGAUCCAUUUUCAGUGACUGAGCUUCUCAAACAGGUAGUAACAUGGGUUAGUACAUCAUGACCUCAUGGGGAAAACUCAAUUGCUUUGAACAAGUCACUUGUUAUAGAAUAAGCGGAGUCAACAUACCCACGAUAAUUACACCUACUGGCUCUGCAAAACCAGCAAGUGUUGCUAGUUUGAACGCCUGCCAUUUGCUGCAUCAUAGACACAAAAUAACAUUAUUAUUAAACUGAAAAGCUUAUUUUCUUUCCAAAUCAGUGUGACUAUAAUAUUUAUUAUGAACAUUUAAUGUAUUUUAGCAAUUAUAUGCUUAUUUUUUAUUUAUACAACAAAUCAUAUGCUUCUUUAGGUAAUAACUAGUUCGACUAGCCUUCUGAAUUAAACCAACUAAGCCAUGACUAUUUUCUGAUCAUUAAGAUGAGAUUUGUACAAAAUACUCCUACAUGUAAUUCAGCACUGUCAUAUUAAAAUAUGUACUUCUUUGUUUAGCUGCAAGUCUCCUCAACCCAGAAUUCACAUAUACCAAGAAGACACUAUAUCUAAUAAGUUGAUGAGGAAUGACCAUGCAUACCCCUAUUAAAUGAGAUACUGCAAGCACUUAACUCUUCAAGAGCACAUUAAAGUAGGGGUAGAAUGGAGUAUUGCAUUAACCUAUUGACCCCUUAUGGAUAGUUAUUUCGAAGUUGAGACUUCUCAUGCCAGGGACAGUUAAUAGUGAAGGGGAGAGAGUGUAAAAUAUAUGAUGCAUAUUGCAUAAUAAUUUUAGCUAGUACCUGCAAGUGGCAAAAUAUGCAGGGAGAGCUACAGCAAUACCCUGCACAUGAACAGAAAAUUCCUACAAGUAUUAGCAGAUUCUUUGAUCUUGUAAACUUAGUUAUGUCAUGAGAAAUAUACCAACUUUUCAUAAGAAUCAGUUGUGUAAAACUUCACCAACUAUUGUAUUGUACUAUUAUGUAUCUUAAAAAUGGCAUAUCUGCUAUGCAUUUGCACCUUGAAAAGGUGGGGAGUAUCUAGUCCCAAUUUUGUAUGUUGGUGACUGAUUGAGAUUACGAAUGGAAAUUCCACUUUCAGUUUCCGCCAGAAGGGGUAUAGUUUAGUCAUUGUAGAUACUUAGAUGACAUUUUCUGUUCCAUAGCCAUUCCCUAUUCCAUCUAAAAGCCAUUAUAGAUUCAGUUACCUCCGGGAUGUAGUGUAGAGCUAUAGCAAUAACCAAGUUAAGGCCAACACGAAAUCCCUGAAAGGUAGAUAAGAUUAGUGGGAUAUACAACAAAUAUUACUACUCUUCAUUACUCAGUGUCUUGUUCAUACUUAUUCGAUAUGUUAACAGUGUUAUGGGCUAAAAUAAACAUGUGUCCAGAAUAACAGCAAAAUUGCUAUUCUACUAUAACAUGCACAAACGGAGAUGUAAUAUCUGUAGACACAUGACCCGUAGAUUUUGUUGUAUGGAGUGUUCAAUACUUCUAUAUGAUUUACUCCCUCCAUUCCAAAAUAUAGUGCGCCCGCGCUUCCCGAGGUCCAAUUUUGACCAUAAAUUUAACCAACGAGACCGACUGCGUCGGGAGAAAAAAUUAUAUAAUUGAAAACUUUUGAAUACGAAUUCACUGGUAUAACUUUUGCUCCCGCCGCAGUCGGUCUUGUUGGUUAAAUUUAUGGUCAAAGUUGAAGCACGGGAAUAGAGGAAGCGCUAUAUUUUGGAACGGAGGGAGUAUCAGGUAUAUAAAUUAAUAGAAAUAAUACCAGUCAAUAAUAUAUAUAUUCAAUUACCUGUCAAAAUAUAGUUGAAAUUUAUCAUAAAAAUUAAUUCAAUGGCAAAGGAUAUAUAUACAAAAGCAAUUUACUGUUUUUGUCAAAUUUGGUAGGCCUGCCUAUAAUAUACUGUAUUUUCUCAAAUAUAUACCUUUGCGGUUCCGAGAAACGCUGCAGUACCCACCGGGAAGUUUUGCAAACUCACACCAGCAACUGUUGACAUGAGAACUUCGUUCAUCAAUGCGAUCAUUGAAAAUAAUAAACUUGUAGGAAAGGGGCAUAUAGUUACAUGUAUAUGCAUAUAUUGCCCUACAUAAUUUUGAUAACUUUGUAUUUUCAUGUGCGUGAUUUAUUUUUCUGACAUGCGCACUUUAUGGAAAACUACUGCUGCUAUCACUUGCCAACAUAGAAUUAGUUUUAGGUGUUCAACAGGUGCUGUUGAAAUAUAACUAUUUUCGGUCAUAACUACUUUUACUGCCCGUAUCACUUGUUAAAUCAUGUCUAUGAUCUUAAACUGUAUUUAGGUGUUCAAUUUGAAUAAUUAAUCUAAUAUUUCUGUACACUGUCUUGUAUGAACAAGCCCCAUACAUUUAUUUGGUGUCAAUAUGCUCGAGCUCGGUACUAAAAUAGUAUAAUCUAAAAUAUUAGGUAUAAUUAUAUAACAAAAUCAUCUGAAGAACACCUAUCACCAAAAAUUGGAUUUCUGUAUAAAUUAUUAAAGGGCAUGUUUUCUCUUUACGGGCUCAUGUUGUUGAAAACACUGUGAUGCAUUUUCGGUACUAUAUGUUACAAGUUUUGCAAGUACAUAAGACUUACCAACUGCGGUGACAAUUACACUAAAGAUGACUCUUCUUCGGUGUCUCAUCAUAAGUUCCUUCCGUGCUGUACUGUUAACAGUCUUCUUUCCCAAAUGAAAAAACAUAAUGGAUAAUCCUAUGUUACUUUUUUAAUAAAUGCCGAUUGAAAAAGGCUGUUAGCAAAGUUGAGGGAAUUUAUACUUCUUUGUCAUUUUCAUCAGGUGGGCUGCAUUCUGGCUCAGGGAAAAUAUCGGCUAUUGCUGAAAAUAGAAGUGCUCCAGCAAAAAACUGCAAAGCAAGGAUGAAAAGGGUAAGAAAUGGUACAAAUGCUUUGCAAAACAUCUUGCUUAAAACGCUCACCCAAAGGUUGCCUUUCAGAAAACCAAUUGCAUUAACAGCAUCAUAAGCCAGGUCAAAGAAGGACAUGCUCAACAUGAGCCCAGUAGCAAAUCCCUAAAAAGAGUUGUCAAAACAAUUGUUAAACAUUGAUUUGUGUACAAAUAAACCUAUGUUGUUCUUUAAAUGUGACCUUAUGGUCAGAGUUAAGUAAAUUGUUGUAGCAUUUCACCUGUAGUAUCCCGAGUGUUCUGUUGUUUGGGGCAUGAUUUAGUAUUGCCAGUAGUGCACCUGAUGAGUAGCAAUAAAGUAUCAUUGGCAAAAGUAGUAGGCAAAUGCUAGCUAUCAAGAGGUACAACAUCUUGCAUUUGAUCUCUGCCUAGUCUAUAUCAUUCCAACGCUUUCCAAAUAAAUUAUGGGAAAGCUCCCAUUGAGAAAUAAAAUUGCUUUUGGCUGUCACUUGAGUGAUAGCAAUAAUAGUAUCUAUAAAGCAUCAGCUUAUGGGCCCCCUAUUCACGUUAGAUCCUGGUUAUAUCAUAUUGGGCUGCUUACGAACUUAACACUUAAAGGCUUACUAACUAAACACUCGUCAGUUUUAAAAGCUGGAGCGUUUUUCCAGAAAACUUAAACAUACACCUAAAGGCUAGUUGGUGUCGAGGAUGGGUAGGGUGAGUCGGACACAGUGCAAAGAUGGAGGGGGAUACGAAUUUGGGCGAUGAGUGAGUGGAUUCCGCUGUGGAAGCAGGUGUGCUGAACUAACAGGUAAGGACGUGUAAUCCUCAUGCUCAUGUGUGCUUCAUCGAAAAUAAUGUGUACACAAAUUCUUCCCAUUCUUGGUGUAACAGUAGCAGUCUAUUUUCUCUCAGCUGUUAGAUGCCAAGUAUAAACUGAAAAGAUUGAUUACUCAAUAUUAUGUUUCACUUUGAACAAACUACCAUACUAACGGCCCACAUAACAUUCUCACAGGAUAUAUAUGAAUGCCCCAUGGACCUUGUACAAUUUCGUGCUUAAGAUGUACUGUGAGAAAAGAAUCUUGAUUGGAGCAAGUAAAUGGAAAACCCACACUACCAGUUACAGCUUUUGAAGGGAAACAAUAGCAAAGGCAAUGCAUGCAUCAAAUGAAACACUUGAUGCCAAUGAUGAAUACAUGAUAAUAGUAUGAACAGACAGCAGGAGUGAAGGGCUGAAGGAAGAUGCGUGUAUGCG